Molecule: long non-coding RNA, 1543 nt
Organism: Schistocerca gregaria
Lineage: Eukaryota; Metazoa; Arthropoda; Insecta; Orthoptera; Acrididae
Exons: 4
Source: RefSeq, a predicted model, not a curated record
AAAUGUGGUGCUAUAGAAGAAUGCUGAAGAUUAGACCAGCAAACCAUUUAACUAAUGAGAAGAUACUGAAUAGAAAUGGAGAGAAAUGAAAUUUGUGGCAUAACUUGACUAAAAGAGGGGAUCUGCUGACAGGCCACAUCAAGGGAUCUCCAAUUUAGUACUGGAGGGAAGUGUUUAAAAUAAAAAUUGUAGAGCGACAUCACUAUAUUAAUACAUUAAGACUGUUCUAAAGGAUGUCGGUUGCAGUAGUUCUUCGGAGACGAAGAGGCUUGCACACGACAGGAUAAAAUGGAGAGCUGUACCAAACCAGCCGUAGGACUCCUGAAGAUUACGCCAACAACAUGCAUUCUUAUGAACUUUGAGUUUUCGACUAUACUCUUUGACUGCUUCGAAUCUGAAGUAUAGUUUCUGCAUGGGCGUCAUUGUGUGGUGUCUGUAAAUAUGAAGCAGUAGUUGAAAACAUCGUUAGAAUUAGUUUUAGUUGUUAGUGGAGAUGGUGUAGCUACUCGUUGGGGACCAUGGCCGAAGUGAACGUAAGUCCCGAUGAAGAAGAACGUGUCCAUUUCAGAAGAAUAGUUGCUGCCUUUAAAUGUUACAGAUGCCACCUCAGUCCUAAUGGAAUAUAAUGUCCUAGAAAGUAUCCUAUAUAGUAUUCAAAACAUCAAAAAACCUUGAAUCCUGGUUUUAUCAAAGUGGACUGAAAAUGAAUGUAAGAAAGACCCACGUGAUGCAGUUUAGAGCUAAAAUACCAGAAACAGUUGAAAAUAAAAUAACUCAGAAUGGCCAGGAAAUGACAGAAGUAAGCCAUGUUAAGUUUUUGGGGCCAAGUCUAGACAAAUACUUUUAAUUGGAAGGCACAAGUAGAUGUCAUAGCAAACAAUUUAAAUAGUCGAACUUUGCAAUGUGUGGUUUAUCUGACGUGUCCCACAGAAGCAAAAAUGUGUCUCACAGAUACUUUGAAUUGGUUAUUGGGUAUAGUAUAACCUUCUGGGAAAAUUCAACCAACAACAUUAGACUUCUGAUGCUUCACAAGAAGAUCAUCAAAAGCAGUUUGUUUCAGGUUGCUGUUGUUUAAAUGUUAAUGAAAACUCUGAAGCAAGUAGGAGUCAGUUCCCUCUGAGCGACACAGGUGUUAACAGACUGAAAUCUUCAGUCAUCACCACCAGUGAAUUCUACACAACAGUGGAAAAUAACAUAAGGACAAAUUAAACAAUGUGUACUGCAUUUAGCUAGUUAUCUAUGUGUUCCAGAGAAUGUUUGUAUGAUAUUUAAUUAUAACAAGGCAUUGGUCAGUUGACAGGUUAAAGAAGUGGCUACAUGAUGCCCAUGUACUGAAUUUGUGUAAUAGUAAAAAUAUUUAGGUUAUUAGCAGAAGAAACUAUGUAAUUCUCUUAUACUUCUUACAAAACAAGUUUCUAAAUAAAAACUCCUCUUUAGAAUAUAAACUUUUUCAGCCUCCUAUUGUAUUUUCCUUUGCUGCUUGCCUGAAAUUUUAUGUAAAUAGGAAAGUGAAGAAAAUUAAAAUGAACAUGAGGAACUGUGA